CCCUUAGAUGUUCUGGGCCGCACGCGCGCUACACUGACGAUGGCAACGAGUUUUUCCUUCGCCGAAAGGUGUGGGUAAUCUUUUGAAACAUCGUCGUGCUGGGGAUAGAUCAUUGCAAUUUUUGAUCUUGAACGAGGAAUUCCUAGUAAGCGCGAGUCAUCAGCUCGCGUUGAUUACGUCCCUGCCCUUUGUACACACCGCCCGUCGCUACUACCGAUUGAAUGGUUUAGUGAGGACUCCUGAUUGGCGCCGCCGCCCCGGCAACGGAGCAGCGGACUGCCGAAAAGUUGUUCAAACUUGAUCAUAUAGAGGAAGUAAAAGUCGUAACA
RNAcentral lists this ribosomal RNA (329 nucleotides) under uncultured eukaryote. Its description in RNAcentral is "partial 18S ribosomal RNA". It matches the Rfam family "Eukaryotic small subunit ribosomal RNA", at positions 1470 to 1796 of the family's 1831-position model. The record is from RNAcentral.